Potamilus streckersoni is the source of this 73-nucleotide non-coding RNA. NCBI's taxonomy places the organism in Eukaryota, Metazoa, Mollusca, Bivalvia, Unionida, Unionidae. The record is from the annotation of a GenBank genome assembly.
GCUCCGGUUGCCUAGUGGUAAGAGCCUCCACCUAUGAUACGGGAGGUCGUUGGUUCGAUCCCCGUCCGAGUCA